RNAcentral lists this long non-coding RNA (269 nucleotides) under Capsicum annuum. RNAcentral describes it as "long non-coding RNA (CANN_LNC010940)". The record is from RNAcentral. Lineage: Eukaryota; Viridiplantae; Streptophyta; Magnoliopsida; Solanales; Solanaceae.
CCUAUUUAAGAACAACAACGUACCCUUACACAGGAGAGAUCAGACACUUUGAAAGAAAAAUCAGAAAAAAAAUAAAGAAAAACAUCAGAAUACAAAAAAAAGAAGAAAAAGAAACAUUCAGAAACAUCAGACAAGAAAAGGAAAAAGUGUGAAGUUGAAGUCGGGUUUAUUUUCGAGUUUUCGGUGAUAAUUUUUCUUGCUUUAUUACUCCAUUUAAAUUAAUCACAAGUUCUUAUUCAAACAUGAACCAUUUUAUAUUAUAAAUUUCA